Molecule: unclassified non-coding RNA, 234 nt
Filed under: plant metagenome
Description: partial contains small subunit ribosomal RNA, internal transcribed spacer 1, and 5.8S ribosomal RNA
Source: RNAcentral
UUUCCGUAGGUGAACCUGCGGAAGGAUCAUUACAGUAGUCACCCAGGUUGCCGCAAGGCCUCCUGGGUAACCUACCACCCUUUGUUUAUUGCACUUUGUUGCUUUGGCAAGCCUGCCCUCGGGCUGCCGGCUCCGGCCGGCGAGCGCUUGCCAGAGGACCAAAACUCUGUUUGUCUAUACUGUCUGAGUACUAUAUAAUAGUUAAAACUUUCAACAACGGAUCUCUUGGUUCUG